RNAcentral lists this non-coding RNA (28 nucleotides) under Rattus norvegicus (Norway rat). Lineage: Eukaryota; Metazoa; Chordata; Mammalia; Rodentia; Muridae. The record is from RNAcentral.
UAGCUGAGUAGACAGGAGCAACCGGUGU